UGAACAUUUCUGCGGGGUUUGUUUUGUUUUUCCAGCUGUUGCUUGAUAGGUCUUUGCUGUAGCGGUAGUAGUGAGGUUAUGAUAAUGUUUAUUGUAAAAAUGAACCGUUUCAUAACCCGUGACUGACUGAAAUCGUUCAGCCUGAGAGACUCGCGUUGGAACAACAAUGUCGCGGUUCACAGCACGAAAAGCUUCAGUUCGACUCGACACCACUCACCCUCGCGCUGUCAGCUUUCCCCGGAGCAGCACAUGGUCCACAGUGUCCAGGUUCACUGUGGUAAACAGCAGACUGACAGCGAGACACGCCACCGGCUGGAUCCAGUUCUCCACACUUCGAGUCCGUGAGGGCUUCUGGGCUGUCCCACUGUCAAAUAGUCAAGCGCAGACUUUGCCGGAGGGAAUAACCCGCAGUCCACAACGCUGUGACUCUUUAAAAAUGUAAUAACAUGACUUGGCGUCAAGGUAUCUGUGAGGAAUCAUCCAAACAUCUUUCCAGCCAAUGUCGUUUACAGACGGUUCCAAUAAAACACAACAUGUGGAA
Molecule: long non-coding RNA, 541 nt
Organism: Micropterus dolomieu (smallmouth bass)
Lineage: Eukaryota; Metazoa; Chordata; Actinopteri; Centrarchiformes; Centrarchidae
Exons: 2
Source: RefSeq, a predicted model, not a curated record